Molecule: long non-coding RNA, 841 nt
Organism: Oncorhynchus keta (chum salmon)
Lineage: Eukaryota; Metazoa; Chordata; Actinopteri; Salmoniformes; Salmonidae
Exons: 3
Source: RefSeq, a predicted model, not a curated record
CGGAACGGAAAUGACACCGCGAAUCGAUUGAAAAUCGCUCAGAGAUGAGCAAGAACGAUAUAAUAUUCAAAACAGUGCCCCGUAUUCUUCAGGCCGAAAACCUUUAAGUGUUCAGUUCUAUUUAUUAAACGACGAACACGUACCACCAAUGGCCGUUACAGAACUACCCACCACAAACGGACCAAGCAGUGUGGAGAAAAGGAGGAAUGGACAUGUGAGGACAUUCUGGAUGGGAAGGGAUCCUACACAUGGGAGGAGAUCCUGGCUGGAAGGGAUCGCUUCCCAUGGGAACAGGUAGAGGCAGCCAGGACAGCAGAGGCAGCAGGAGAAGGGAACCAGUGUUACGAGGGAACACGGCUGGCGAGGAAGCCCGAGAGGCAUCCCCAAAAACAUUUUUAGGGGGGGCACACAGGGAGUGUGGCAGAGUCAGGUUGGAGACCUGAGCCCACUCCCCGUGCUUACCGGGUCGAGCAUGUGACUGAUCAGGCCCCGUGCUAUGGGGUGAUGCGCACUGUGUCUCGGCCGAGCAUUCACAGGCCGGUGUGCUCCGUGCCAGCGUCCCGCAUUUGCCGGGUGGAAGCUGGCAUCUAGCCAGAAUGGGUGGGGCCAGCUAUGCGGUUGAGACCGCCAGUGCGUCUCCACGGCCCUGUGUAUCUUGUGCCUCAGCCAAGGAAGAGGUCGCCUGUAUGUCUCCCCAGCCUGGUGAGUCCUGUGCCUGUUCCCAGAACCAGGUCUCCUGUGUCGCCCUCCAGCCCGGAGCUGCCAGAGUCGCCCUCCAGCCCGGAGCUACCAGAGUCGCCCUCCAGCCCGGAGCUGCCAGAGCCGCCCUCCAGCCCGGAGC